GAUGAACGCUGACAGAAUGCUUAACACAUGCAAGUCUUUGGCGAAGCUGUGCUUGCACAGCCUAGCCAAGGCGGACGGGUGAGUAACGCGUAAGGAACUUGCCCUGCAGUCAGGGAUAACAGACGGAAACGACUGAUAAGACCUGGUAAAGUCAGGCGGACUCAUGUCCAGCCUGAUGAAAAGUGAUGCUGCAGGAGAGCCUUGCGUCCUAUUAGCUUGUUGGUGGGGUAACGGCCCACCAAGGCGAUGAUAGGUAGCCGGCCUGAGAGGGUGGACGGCCACAAGGGGACUGAGAUACGGCCCUUACUCCUACGGGAGGCAGCAGUGGGGAAUAUUGGACAAUGGGGGCAACCCUGAUCCAGAAAUUCUGUGUGCACGAUGAAGGUUUUCGGAUUGUAAAGUGCUUUCAGCAGGGAAGAAAAAAAUGACGGUACCUGCAGAAGAAGCGACGGCUAAAUACGUG
This 463-nucleotide ribosomal RNA is filed under the name uncultured bacterium. RNAcentral describes it as "partial 16S ribosomal RNA". It matches the Rfam family "Bacterial small subunit ribosomal RNA", at positions 28 to 507 of the family's 1533-position model. The record is from RNAcentral.